This 407-nucleotide long non-coding RNA is filed under the name Drosophila guanche. The record is from RNAcentral. Lineage: Eukaryota; Metazoa; Arthropoda; Insecta; Diptera; Drosophilidae.
CCGUUCUCCUCCAUUGUUGUCCAACAUGUCAAAGCAAUUGCAAACAUUCGGGCUGCCUUUCAUUUAUCAGAUGAGUCCCGAGAGCGAGAGCUGAAUCGGUUUUACUUUUUCACUCGUCCACUCUUUCGCUUGAUCUAUGGAUUCGAUUUCGCGGUUUGCUGAGCACCGUCAGCGAAAAGAUAACGCUCCGAUAAGUAGAGUCCCGUUCGGUACUCAUCCUCGUCCACAUCCACCGCUCUCAGUGCGAUAAGUAAACCAUUUGUGUAAUAUGUCAACUUGUUUCUGGCGGCUUCUGUGGCCAUUCAAUGGCUGAGCUCUGCGGGUCAUACAGUUGUCUUCGCCUGGCUCUGGCCCUUGAACAAGUAAGGAACCGCCUUCACAAUGCACAUGCAAAGCGAUCAGGCAGG